Molecule: long non-coding RNA, 459 nt
Filed under: Homo sapiens (human)
Lineage: Eukaryota; Metazoa; Chordata; Mammalia; Primates; Hominidae
Description: non-protein coding lnc-TSTA3-5:1
Source: RNAcentral
UAAAUUUUGACAGAAGCAAACAAAGAAUUAGAAGUAACCUAAAGUGCAAAACUACAUGAAGUCUUUCCCAGCCAAUAAAUUCACCUACUUUCUUAAAAUCAACUGCAGAGUUUUGAAUUGUCCCUUUGAUGAGGAGGACAGCCCAGGUACCAAGGCCAGGUACCAGGGUGAAUAAAGGAAGAGAAGCAACGUGGGAGAAGGAGCUGUGGCCAAGGGGGACACGCUAGGCGCGUGCCCUCAUCCAAGGACCUUCUACAGGAAUUCCAGGGCAGAAUCCAUGUGGAACUCCUGCUGUGAUUCUCCAGGGGCUCCCCGGCUCUUGGAAAGGCUUCUGUGUUCCAGGGGUCCAACAUCACUCCGUGAAAGUCUGCUCCCCACCUAGGAGCCCCCUCGAGCCACAGCAGCCUUGCCAGCUGGAGAAGGACCCGAGACGUGCAGAUGGGAGUUGUGGCAGUAGUG